AUAGCGUAUAUUAAAGUUGUUGCAGUUAAAAAGCUCGUAGUUGAACUUCAGACCUGGCUGGGCGGUCGGCUUAUCGGCUAGUACUGUCCGGCUGGGCCUUACUUCUUGGUGAGCUGGUGUGCCCUUUAUUGGGUGCGUCGGUGAACCAGGACCUUUACCUUGAGAAAAUUAGAGUGUUCAAAGCAGGCCUAUGCCCGAAUACAUUAGCAUGGAAUAAUGAAAUAGGACGUGUGGUUCUAUUUUGUUGGUUUCUAGAGUCGCCGUAAUGAUUAAUAGGGAUAGUUGGGGGCAUUGGUAUUGAGUCGCUAGAGGUGAAAUUCUUGGAUUGACUCAAGACCAACUAUUG
This 346-nucleotide ribosomal RNA is filed under the name uncultured eukaryote. RNAcentral describes it as "SSU rRNA". It matches the Rfam family "Eukaryotic small subunit ribosomal RNA", at positions 594 to 945 of the family's 1831-position model. The record is from RNAcentral.